This is a long non-coding RNA of Columba livia (rock pigeon), 2789 nucleotides long. RefSeq lists it as uncharacterized. The transcript is spliced from 2 exons. Lineage: Eukaryota; Metazoa; Chordata; Aves; Columbiformes; Columbidae. The record is from RefSeq and is a predicted model, not a curated record.
GUAGCGUCAGCGGGCGGUGCCCGUACUGCGGCGGUGAGGCCGCUGCUCCGCGGCCGUGGGAGCUCGGUGGUUCACGGUGUGGCGCUGAAGUAAACCCACUAAAGCUACACAGAAGUUUAUCCGCGUGUGGAACCCGUGUCAAAAAAAUUCCCUGCGCGGUUGCCAGCGCUGCGGGGAGGCAGGUGCUAGAAUGUUUCUGAGCUGGGGCUCUUGGCGGCUGGCGAGCCCUUGUGCUGCCGCUCCGUCCUGUUCUCACACCGGCCGGCAGCCGCGUUCCCCUUGAACUCCCUCUUGUCCGGCCUUGGGCAUGACUAUCUAAAAGUGUUACCUCAGACUUCAAACCUGUCUGAGAACCGGCUCGGCCGCCCCUCCACAGAAGGGCUGGUGCCGCCCCCAGCCCAGCCCCGGGGCCGCUGUUCCCAGAGCCCGCCCUGCGCCUCGGACCGGGAUGUGCAGGUGGGGCCGUCGCUAAAUCUCCACAGCUGCCUGCCUGACACCGCCUCUCUCCACUCUGUCGAACACACUCGCAGCUGGGCCAGAAAACGCCUGGAGCUUUAUACUGCAACAGAGCAGGCUCGGAAGACAAGGUGAUGUUCUGUGUGAGCUGUGCUGCUGCACACUCUCUAGGACGGGCAAUUACCUGUUUCUGGUCAGUCAUGCUUACCUACUUACUCCUCAGCCGCUUUUAAUUCCUGUUACAGUCACCCACGACUGUGUUCUCUCGAGUCGAUGUCUACAAGCCAGAACUGUCAGCUGCGAAGAUCUGACUUGAGUACCUGACUGAAGGACAACCAACCGCAAAGCCAGAAGCGGCAGUUUGUACAUCCAAGAUGUACUCAAAAACUUCCCCUCUAAAGACAAGGCCUCUUGACAGGUCAUACUGCUAUUACUAAAGCGUGAUCCACCUCUGAGAUGACUCUCUUUAUACAGCACAGCUGGAGCGAUCUCAAGAUCAACAAUACUGUUUGUUCAUGUCGGUGGCUCAAGUCAGUCAACUUUACUGUCUGCUGCCACCACACUGUCAUGUCUUCACCACAUGCUUACGAACUGCUUUGUCCUCUUUAAAACCGGUGACGUGGUAUUUCAGAACAGGAGGCUGAUAACUACAAGCACACAUACACACACACGCAAAACCCGGUAUUCACAAAGAAUCCAAGCCAAAUAGCAAAAUUAAGUUCCAAUGGGAUUCAAAAGAGUUCAUUCCAUACAUCAACACCCAAAUGUGGGCAGCAAGCAGCAGUGCUUAAUACAACAGAAGAAAUGGGGUGAUUGUAUAUUCCUCUGGCAGUUUACUUGCCUGGGUUCGUAAUAUUCUUAGCUGGACUAUUCCUUCAUUUUCCUCUUCCCGCAUUCUCUCUGUAGUAAGUUGCAAUCGACCAAUCAAAUUUAUCUUGCCCCUUUUUUGAACUUUAGCGUUUUUUCUGAAAAAGUUGUAUUGUAUGAAAAUAAGCACAAAAUGCAUUUUCAAUUAAGGAAUUCCUAUUAAACUCAAGUGACAGCAGCAAGGAGUACCAUCACAUAUCAGAUAUUUACAGGCUAUUAGCAUGGCAGUAGUGAGACAGCAUCAUAGAAUCAGAUACCUGGCUGACAAAUCAAACGUCAACGUCAAUGUCUCCGCACAAUAAACCUGAAUGUACUAGCAUCAGUUAAAAAAAAAAUCCAUCAGAUGAAACUGACAGUGUCCAAAGUUGAAAAAUCACCAGUACUAUUUUAAAGACUAAAGUUCCAGAGAAAUAUAUUUCAGUUUAACGAUAUAAGCCUAGGGUUCUUUAGAGGAAGUUUUUACAACAAAGUUCAGGAAACGCGACUAGCUUGAUUUUCAUCAGAACUGUCUGUCUAGCAGAAAAAAAAGACAAAUAACAGCUGUUGUAACAAAGACAGCAAAAAGCUGAUGGCAUUCUUCAGUGGCUACCCACAAACUUUCUGUACAGCCUGUCUCUUCUGCCAUGCCCUCUUGCUUCCCAAAGCUCAUGAUCCUGAUGACGGGAACAAACAUCAUGGCCCUGGGCAAGAAAUGAAGCCCCAAGAGAGCAGAGUCAUCACCUCUCACUCUUCACAAAUCCAAAUAUGCAGCUGCUACUGAGAAUGAGGCCCUGAAUCUGAGGUUGCCAGCAAGCAGCAAGUUCUAAUCAUAAUCAUUGGUAACAGAGGGAGGCAAAACCCAAAGUAAAACAUGCUGAAUGUAGUAUAUAUGAUUUAGAUAUUAUCUCUUUAUAGUAUCUUAUGCUCUGAUGGUUUUCAAAGCACCAGUGAAAGAGUGCUGCAGUUCUCACUUCAAUACAGACACUCUCUGGUGAAAGCCAUGCCAAAAACCCCAGCUUUUGACAGUAUACCGUAUUAUUAAGCAUUUGCACUUCCUUUUUUAACUUAUCACGCUAUUUUUGAAACUCUGUGUGUAAUAAUCAAUACAGCACCAGUGCUCUGCUUACAUGCUGUUCCCUCCCAUGUAAAAUUUCAUAGGCUUAUUAGCAACAGGAAGACAGCGAAGCCUCCAAUUUUGCACCUCACCUCUAUGUUUACGAAAUUUAAUUUCACAGAAAUCAGAAUCAUAGAAACAUUUGUCUGAAGGGGCUGCUGGAGGUCAUCUAGCCCAACCACCUACCUGAAGCAUCACUAUUGCCAAAAUUAAGCGAGGAGAGGGCAGCAAAGCAUGUGUCUAGCUGAACCUUGAAAACUCUUAAGGAUGAAGGUUAACUUAAAGUGAAUUCCUUUAAUUAUAAAAUAGUACAUUGUUAUUUUACUUUUCAAACAUCAUCUUACAUUAAACUGAACUCCUGGUUCACCGAGAA